CCUACGGGAGGCUGCAGUGGGGAAUAUUGGACAAUGGGGGGAACCCUGAUCCAGCCAUGCCGCGUGUGUGAAGAAGGCCCUCGGGUUGUAAAACACUUUCAGUGAGGAAGAACGCCUGGUGGUUAAUACCCAUCAGGAAAGACAUCACUCACAGAAGAAGCACCGGCUAACUCCGUGCCAGCAGCCGCGGUAAUACGGAGGGUGCGAGCGUUAAUCGGAAUUACUGGGCGUAAAGCGCGCGUAGGUGGCUUGAUAAGCCGGUUGUGAAAGCCCCGGGCUCAACCUGGGAACGGCAUCCGGAACUGUCAAGCUAGAGUGCAGGAGAGGAAGGUAGAAUUCCCGGUGUAGCGGUGAAAUGCGUAGAGAUCGGGAGGAAUACCAGUGGCGAAGGCGGCCUUCUGGACUGACACUGACACUGAGGUGCGAAAGCGUGGGUAGCAAACAGGAUUAGAUACCCCGGUAGUC
Molecule: ribosomal RNA, 465 nt
Filed under: Vreelandella stevensii
Lineage: Bacteria; Pseudomonadati; Pseudomonadota; Gammaproteobacteria; Oceanospirillales; Halomonadaceae
Description: partial 16S ribosomal RNA
Rfam family: Bacterial small subunit ribosomal RNA
Source: RNAcentral